RNAcentral lists this ribosomal RNA (114 nucleotides) under uncultured bacterium. RNAcentral describes it as "partial 16S ribosomal RNA". It matches the Rfam family "Bacterial small subunit ribosomal RNA", at positions 220 to 334 of the family's 1533-position model. The record is from RNAcentral.
GAAGAGUGGGUGUGCCGUCCAUAGGUAGUUGGUGAGGUAACGGCUCACCAAGCCGACGAUGGGUAGGGGGCGUGAGAGCGUGACCCCCCACACGGGUACUGAGACACGGACCCG